Molecule: small RNA, 257 nt
Filed under: Arabidopsis thaliana (thale cress)
Lineage: Eukaryota; Viridiplantae; Streptophyta; Magnoliopsida; Brassicales; Brassicaceae
Description: ATSL190740
Source: RNAcentral
UAAUUUCCACAUAAUGUUUUUUCAUGAAUAAAUAUUUUAUUUGACACGUGUCAAAAUCUAAAAUUGAUAAAACUGUCACGUGUCAUAAUCUCGUGAGUUACUAACUUUUGAAACCGUACUUUAUAUAACAAGAUGAAAGAGAUCCAAGUUUCCUAAACUUAGAUAAAACCAAAUAUAAAUAAUAUAUUUAGAGAUAAUGUUAAAUUUCCUAAACUUUUAAUAUUAACAUCCAUCUUCUAGAAUAAUAUAUUCUUAUC